UGGGGGAAAGGCACCAUGGUAACUGUUACAUCAGCCACUUCAACUAAACCAACGGUGUUUCCUCUGAUCCCAUGUGGUUCGGGGACUGGAGACACGGUCACUCUUGGCUGCUUUGCCACCGGCUUCACACCCUCAUCAGCAGAGUUUUCAUGGACCAAAAAUGGGGCUGCCCUGACAGAGUUCAUUAGGGAAGCAAAGUUUCGAAUGUGGUGUGACACAUCCUGCAGGAAACGUACAGUCUGGUCCCAUCAAACCUAUGGACAGGAUUUAUCGGAUGCCAACUGUUAAAGUGUUGAAAUCUGAGGAGGGAACCGAGGUUUCCUUCUCCUGCUUUGCCAAAGGUUUUUCACCCCGAGAAGAGCAUGAGAUCAGUUGGCUGGAAAAUGAAGGGAAAGUCAACAACAAAAUAUAUGAGAUCAAAACCCCUCUGCAAAGCGAAAAGAAUGAGUAUGGAACUUUGUACAGCGCAGCACGUUUUAUUGCAGUACAGAGCAGUGGAUUGCCACAUGGGACUAAGUUCACAUGUGUGUUUAAGGGGAAAACAGAAAAAGGUCAUGAAUAUAAGAAUGAUUCUCUGACCUACGGCCCUUCCUGCAGUUCUCAAGGAUGUCCUAAGGCAGAUGUGGAUGUAAAGAUUGUAGAGCCCAGUUUGGAGGAAAUGUUUUUAAACAGAAAAGGACAGGUGACAUGUGUAGUCACAGUAAACACUCCAUCCGUAACCAGGAUACAUUGGGAGGAUCACAAUGGAGAUGAAAUAGUUGGUGCCUCAUUGAUCCCCAAGCCAGGAGUCACAGGGACGUUUAAGGUUCCACUCGAAGUCACGUAUGAUGAGUGGAGCCUGGGGAGGCGGUUCAACUGUGUUGUUGAACAUCAAAACUGGUUAACACCAAAAAAGACAGCAUAUGAAAGGAAGCCUGGGUUGAAUACAGUGGAUGUAGAGUGCCCGUUUGUGACUACCUACACACCAAAGGAAGAUAACAUGGGAAACACAGCCAUCACCUUCAUCUUUCUCUUCAUCAUCACUCUGCUGUUCACCAUUGGAACCACUGCUUUUAAGGUUAAAUGAAAUAAGGUGAUUUUUCUGUUAUAAAAUGCAGUUUUUUCUUAUAACUUCAGUGUCAUGUAAGUAAUCACAUUUGUGCUUUUUAAUUGUUAUUACAAGAACUUUAUGCCUUUUGAAAAUAAAUGUUUAAAUGAGGUAAAUGAUGUUACACCUGCAUCUUUUUUCUCUCUUCCAUUGUUUUGAAAUGAUUUGUUUUGUCUGAUUGCACUUAUUAAUACUU
This is a non-coding RNA of Monopterus albus (swamp eel), 1283 nucleotides long. Lineage: Eukaryota; Metazoa; Chordata; Actinopteri; Synbranchiformes; Synbranchidae. The record is from the annotation of a RefSeq genome assembly.